GAUGAACGCUAGCGAUAGGCUUAACACAUGCAAGUCGAGGGGUAACGUGUUGGAAGCUUGCUUCCGAUGACGACGACCGGCGGAUGGGUGCGUAACGCGUAUGCAACUUGCCUCACAGUGGAGAAUAACCCGGAGAAAUCCGGACUAAUGUUCCAUACACUCUUAAGUACUCCUGUACAUGAGAGGAAAGAUUUAUCGCUGUGAGAUAGGCAUGCGUCCUAUUAGGUAGUUGGUGAGGUAACGGCUCACCAAGCCGACGAUAGGUAGGGGUGCUGAGAGGCAGAUCCCCCACAUUGGGACUGAGACACGGCCCAAACUCCUACGGGAGGCAGCAGUGAGGAAUAUUGGUCAAUGGAGGAAACUCUGAACCAGCCAAGUCGCGUGAAGGAAGAAUGUCCUAAGGAUUGUAAACUUCUUUAGCGAGCGAGUAAGGACUUCCACGUGAUGGGUGUUUGAAAGUAGCUCGAGAAUAAGUAUCGGCUAACUCCGUG
RNAcentral lists this ribosomal RNA (491 nucleotides) under uncultured bacterium. RNAcentral describes it as "partial 16S ribosomal RNA". It matches the Rfam family "Bacterial small subunit ribosomal RNA", at positions 28 to 507 of the family's 1533-position model. The record is from RNAcentral.